Molecule: non-coding RNA, 5159 nt
Organism: Solanum lycopersicum (tomato)
Lineage: Eukaryota; Viridiplantae; Streptophyta; Magnoliopsida; Solanales; Solanaceae
Source: RefSeq, a predicted model, not a curated record
ACUUCUUCGCUCUAUUUCAAAUAUGGGAUCUACUAGAGUAUUUGAAGUUGAAAUAGCAACAACAAAAAGAAAAAAAAAGUGUCCUUAGAAAUAGAUAUAUUUUCUCGAUUACAAAAUGUUGUGGUAGUCUCAUGUCAAGUAUCGAUUAAUAUAGACACUACUAUGACUUCAUAGAGUGAGGGUAUAUUAGAGAAAGUCAUCUAUUCUUUCUUGGUUAUAGUUAGAAAGUGUGUUAUUUUUGUUAUUAAAUUGUUCGAAGUAAAACAAAUUGUUUGGUCUAGAGAGAGAACAAAUUCAAUAAUAUUUUGCAAUUAUUCAAUGGGUAGAAAUAUGUGGGCUAUUUGGGUACGAUAUUAUGGAUAGGUAUGAUGUGUUCUAGUGAGAUAUCUAACGGACUUUCACGUUGUGGCAGUUCUAGGGUUAUGUGGAAACAUGUACGUCGAUUGUCAAGUAUGAAUACUAAUUACUAAAAGAGUUACCAGUUGUGUGACAUGGUCAGAUAAUAAGAUUUAGUGUUGCAUUCACAUUUGAGAAACUAACUAGUUUAUUACUACAGGAACUUAGAUUGAGCAUUAUUUUAAAGGAAAAUUUUAGUGGUGGAUCUUUGGGUUGUGAAAUGUAUCUUGAGGGUUUCGAAUGAGCACUGACGAUUUUAUCUUAAGCUUCAAAAGGUAGAUUGAUAAUAAAAUGACAAAUUUAUAGGGAAAGAAAGUCCUAGUGGAUAUACUUGGGUGAAGUAAAUUGAAGAUUUAGGAAGAAAGUGCAUAUAAAUUGGGUUAGUCUCUUGAAUUUAAGUGGUAUACCUAAGUUUAAGGUGUCAGAUCGAGGAAAAGGUUCACUUCGUGGUGAUAACAAGGACUAACUGAGCAUGAUGGUGAAAAGAGUUCGUGAGGGGUUGUGAUUGAGAUGAAACUAUAUAAUAAGGAUUUGUUGGUUAAAUGAUUUUUGCAUGGUAAUAAAAACUUGUGAGCAUCUAAGGUUAUGAAUUUCUACUAUUUAGUGAAGUAACGUGAUUGUAUGGAACUUUUUAGAAGAUAUUGUGGCACCGCUCGUAUAGAACUUAAAGGAGCUAGAGUCAUAAUUAAAAUAAGAUAAAAUUUAUGGGAUGUGAAGCUUUCAGAAUUAGGUGAGAGCAAGGAUUAUUUUCUUUGUAUGCUUGGAUUAAAAAUGUAUCUUCGAAAGGAUUGCGAAUGAGGUUCAAGAGCGCGUGAUUUUUCCUAUUUUGUUUUGGUUAAAGAAAUAAUGUAACAGGUUAAUCAGAUUGGUUAAAAGUUAUUGGAUAAAUUUUAAGAGAGGAGUGUACAAGCGUUCAGCUUGAGUGGGAUGAUAAGCUUUGUGGUAGUGUUGAAUGUAGUAAUUAGUAGGGUUAGAUUUUUAGCGUAGGAUAUGGUAAGGUUGAUGAUAAGAUAAGAUACAGUAAUUCAUAAAAAUCUUCAAAGUAUAAGCAAAUAUAGAUAUAUAAGGGCAUUGUAUUACACAGUUGUACUUACAAUUCAAUUUUUUUUGUUAUAAGUCUUGAUUUAUGGUGAUAUAUUUUGUCAAGGUAUGAAUUAGUAAGAUGAGAAAUGAUUGAUUGCAUCGGUAUUGAGCAUGUGAAAGAAUUUAUGCAUGUCUUGGACCAUAAAGUUUGUUAUUUUGAUUGUUAAAGGAUCUAAAGAAGGGUUUACCCUCAAAGUUUUGAUUUAGGGUGUGAAGUAAAAUAUCAUGGGUUAUUGGUAAGACAUUGUCCGAUUCAUACGGAUAGGAAGAAACCGCUUUAUGCUUAAAAUGAGCAAUAGUCAUAAAAGGUCGUGUCAUCUUUCUUCCAUUUUUAGCAAUUGAGAUCACUAUGCAAGCUAGUGAAACAAGAGUUUAUAUAUUGAAGGGUCAAUAUAUUAGAAUUUUGCACCAUAGAAAGAAUUUGAGAAAAGUGAAGGAAUAAGACCUCUUGUAUAAACCCAUGGGGUGUAGUUGAUGGUUGUAUUGAUUUUUGCGUAUGAGUUUAGAUAUGACUGUGAGAGGUGAAGUAGUUCGAUAUAGACCUACUAGAACUUAUCAUCGACUUUUAUAAAGAUUGAGUUUUGAAUUGGAUUGAAAACAAUGAGGCAUGAAGAAUUUAGUAUUCUACAUGGGGUUAGAUUUCUCAAAUUUGGAUAGAAGACUUAAGAAUGAUGGAUAAGGUGUAAUAUAAUUCUACAUGGUUAUUAAGAAUUUAGAGUUGGAAUAAUACUACUCUGUUGAUGGGAUUACAUAGAAUAUUAUGAUGUGUUACAUAGAUAUUUAAUGGUGAAUAAAUGUUAUGAGCUAAUAGGGUACAUAAAAAUUUGAAUGACCAAGAAACUUUCUAAGUGUUGGCAUGAGGUAUGUGAUGGUUUAGAAGGUAGCUAAAGCAUGAUAUGUGGAAGUGGUGUGAGGUUGACUGGAGGUUUGAUUUAAUAGUUUAUCAUAAUGGAAAAGUACUAUCAAAUUUUAAAUAAUGUGUAGCCUUGCUUGGAACUCGUAAUUGUCAUGAAAUGCUUAAAUAGAAAGAGAAAUAGACAUAGUUUGAACAUAUAUUUUACAAGAGUACUUUGAUACUAAUGGUGGUUUUGGAGUAAGGUAGAUGAUCGGUGUGGUUAUGAUAUUUUGUUAAUACCAAAAGUGUCGACUUCAUUGGAUGUAUGGUUCAAUAAAGUAAGUAUGUGUGCAAUUAUAGUAGGGACUAAAUUGGUGAUUGUGGGUAGCUAGAAAAUCAAAGAAAUAAAGUCAAAUGAAUGAAGAUGUUUGAUAUGGAAACUAUCGAGAGAAAAUAUAUAUAUGUAUAUAUAUAUAUAUGUGAAGUUAUUCGACCUUGGUUAUAUACACUCUUACGUGAACAACUACUUCAUUUCGGGUGUGAUUUAGAGUAUGAUUCAUUUUCUAUGUCCACACAUGUUUUCACAUCUAUGGGUUGAUUUCUUGUGGUGAAUCGGAUGUAAAGAUCCUCUUGUGUCCUCUUGAUAGGGUUCCUUGGGCAAACUUGGUAUUUUAGUUAUGAUAGAAUUGUUAUUGUUUGGAAUACCUAAAGUAUAUCAGUAGUUCUAUACGUACAAACUUGCUUAUGAGAAUCUAUAUAAGAGCUUCUAUGAAGAGUUACAAUUGCCUAUGAGUAAUGUUAGAGGUUCUGCAUUUUGAAGUGUAUCCCUUGUUUGUGUUUACUUGAUAUUAUUCUUCCCUGGGUUAGAUAAUUUGAUUAUCCCUUGAUGAGUAAUCGAUGUCUAAAGCUAAUAUUUUUAUCACUUAAGUUUGUGAUGAGAUUGUGUCGUGAAAAGAAAAUCCUUAUAAGAUCUGUGAUGGUUUGUGCAUUAUGAGUGUGUGGUAGUUGGUUAAAGUCCACUUCUGGUUGUAGCCACUUUUUCUUCAAAAUUUUAUCGUGGUUAUGUUAGAUAAUAUCUGUCAUGAUGGUUGCGCCAAGAUCUAGUUGGUGAAUAUGUUUGUUGAAUAGUCUACUUGAGAAGAUUUUUGUGGUUAAAUGAGCUACAUACAAUAAAAGUUGUCGUAAGAGUAUUGACAUGGCCUAUUUGAGGCAUUGUAUGAGAGGAGGUGUAGACCUCCAGUUGAUUGGUUUGGUACUUUUAAUAUAAGAUCCGGGGUACUAACAUUUUGAAAGAAAUGUUGAGACAAUUACCCUUUCUUCCCUCACUUUUUUUGAUCGUUCGAGGACGAACGAUGGGUAAAUUGGUAUCUAAUGUAACGACCCAUUUAGUUGUUUUAAAUAUUAGAGAUUUUUAUUUCAUAAUAUACUAUUUCAAUAUAAUUUAAAUAGGUAUUUUGGACCAUUCAUAACUAUAAUUAUAGAAAUAAUGGGGUAGUUUUAAUAACUUAUUUAGUUGGUGGUUAAAGAAAAUAACAUUAAAAAUUAUUGUGGGUCACUUUACCAUUUCUUUUGUAACUAGUCAUAUAAUAAUUAGGGUAAAAAUAAUCUGUAAAAAGAAAAGAAAAAAAAAGAAGAAGAGAAGAAAGGAAAGCCGCACAUCGAAGGCAGCAACCUCAGAUAUUACAUAUUUGAUUGUUUGGGAAUAUUUUGAAGAUUUACGAAAAGGCAAAAUCUUGAGAGUCGUGACACAUGUUCAACAUUCAAAGGUAUGUUAAGACUUUUACACUUCUUUGAAGGACACUUUUCUAAUUAAAGAUUAAAAAUAGAAUAGACUAUGGGUAAGGGUGAAAGAUGAGGGUCUCGUACCAAUGAUGUGACGGGCAUUGGUACAAAUACCAGUGGUAUAAAUGAAAAUUUUAUUACUAUAGAGUGUGAAUUGUAAUCCGAGAAUGCCAAAACAUAUAGGCAUUAGCUGAAGUAAUAUUGACUUUAAUUCUUCAUGUGAUUGUGUUUCUUUAUUGAACUCGUAUAUUUGUGAUAAUUGAGGUGGUUAUGUAUUAUGUUGAUAUUUGAUUGAUUGAGAUGCACUAUCAUCCCAUUUAUUUGAAAUCAUAUAGUUCACAUGUAUUGACAUGAGAUUGAGUAUAAGAUGGGAACGUAGAGAUCGUCAGUGAUGGAGAUGGUGGAAUGUUAAGAUUAUAAUUUGGGCACGUGGAGAUCGUCCAUGUAAAAAUUAUUUGAUUUUAUGAUAGUGUGUUGGAUCAUCCUCACCGACAUGUUGAGAUCGUCUAUGUCGGUAUGUGGACCUCACGAGUCCCCCAUGAGUCAUGAACUAUCAAUGUAUUUUCGAGGAGUAUAAUGUAUAUAUGGUUGAAAGAGUAGUUGGCAUUGGACAUAUCAUUACAUAGUGUCACAUUGCAUUGCAUCUUAUUAACCUCAUUUAAAAUUGUUGAUUUCGUGUGUUUAUUGGUGGUUGUACAUUACUGGGUACACGUAAUUUUGUACUCAUACUAUACUUGUUGCACUCUAUGUGGUGCGAAUUCGGUUUCGAGUACGAGCACAUGUCGUGGAGCUUCUUGAGUUUGUGCUUGGAGUAUUUUGGAGUUGUGGUGAGUUGCUUGGUCGUUCCGUGCCCCCCCCACAUCUUUUAUUUAUUCUGUUUUUAGUGUUCAGACGGGACAUCCCUUAUGUUUGUAUUUCUCAUUUUAGUUUCAAACUUGCACUACAUUUAGUUCUUGUACAUAUGACACCAACUCUUUAGUAGUAUUUUAGUUUUUCGCAUUUCGUACUUAUGAAGAAUUAAGUGUUGGAGUUUUUUUAAUUUAUUUAUUUUAUUCGUUGUUCA